Molecule: ribosomal RNA, 2803 nt
Filed under: Leptolyngbya sp. 15MV
Lineage: Bacteria; Bacillati; Cyanobacteriota; Cyanophyceae; Leptolyngbyales; Leptolyngbyaceae
Description: 23S ribosomal RNA
Rfam family: Bacterial large subunit ribosomal RNA
Source: RNAcentral
CGCUAAGAAGAAGCAGGCGCGCGGAGGAUGCCUAGGCGUCCAGUGCCGAUGAAGGACGUGGUACACCACGAAAGGCUCCGGUCAGGCGUGUGCAGCCGCAAGCAGCCGGAGAUAUCCGAAUGGGGAAACCCGCCCGUAAGGGCACGCGAAAGCGAGGCAAGUGGGUGAACUGAAACAUCUCAGUAGCCCGAGGAAAAGAGAGGAUUCCGCUAGUAGUGGCGAGCGAACGCGGAGCAGCCCAAACCGCAGGACACGUCCUGCGGGGUAGAAGGACUUCCGGAAGCAGCGUGGAACGAAGCCGAACGGUCUGGGAAGGCCGACGAGACAGGGUGAGAGUCCCGUAGGCGCAGGGAAGCGAUGUGGGAAGGAUCCUGAGUAGCCCAGGGCACGCUAACCCGGGGUGAAACAGGGGGGACCACCCUCCAAGGCUAAAUACACUGGAUGACCGAUAGCGCAAGAGUACCGUGAGGGAAAGGUGAAAAGAACCCCGGCGAGGGGAGUGAAAGAGACCCUGAAACCGCGCGCUGACAACCGGUCAGAGCCUGCGAAAGCGGGUGAUGGCGUGCCUUUUGGAGCAUGAGCCGGCGAGUCAAUAGCAGUGGCAAGCCUAAGGGAGAGACACCCGGAGGCGAAGCGAAAGCGAGUCUGAAGAGGGCGAGGAGUGGCUGUUAUUGGACACGAAACCAGGCGAGCUAACCAUGAGCAGGAUGAAAGGCCGGUGACACGGCUGGGAGGUCCGAACUCACGUGUAUUGCAAAACACGGGGAUGACUUGUGGUUAGGGGUGAAAUGCCAAACGAGCUUGGAGAUAGCUUGUUCUCUCCGAAAUAACUUUAGGGUUAGCGUCCUGCGGAAAAACUCUGGGAGGUAGAGCACUGAUUGGGCUAGGGGCCAGUGAGGUUACCGAACCCAGUCAAACUCCGAAUGCCGAGAGGGGAGCAGGGCAGUCGGGCCGUGGGAGAUGAGUUUCACGGUCGAGAGGGGAAGAACCCAGACCCGCGACUAAGGUUCUGAAGUCUGCGCUGAGUGGGAAACGAUGUGGUCAUGUCGAGACAGCCAGGAGGUUGGCUUAGAAGCAGCCACCCUUGAAAGAGUGCGUAACAGCUCACUGGUCGAACGUGACUGCGCGGAAAAUGGAACGGAGCUGAAGCGCAGCACCGAAGUCGGGGAUAAGCCGAAAGGCUUAUGGUAGGAGAGCGUCCCCACAGCGGCGAAGGCAGGUCGGCGAGAUCUGUUGGAGUGGUGGGGAGUGAGAAUGCCGGCAUGAGUAGCGAAAGCAGGGUGAGAACCCCUGCCGCCGAACGUCUAAGGGUUCCGACGGAAGGUCAGUCCGCGUCGGGUAAGUCGGGCCUAAGCAGCAGCCGGGAGGCGAAUGCGAUGGACAACCGGUCAAGAUUCCGGUACCGAUGAAUGGAGCGACGCUGCGCGCUGCGGGAAGGUUCAGCCUCCGGAUGGAAGAGGAGGUGGCAAGCGGUUAACGGCCGUGAUGCCGGGGAGGAAUCCUGGAAGUGAACUGGACCUGGAGCCAAGAAAAGGCAGCGAAGCGGAGAAGUUUAUCGCCCGUACCCCAAACCGACACAGGUAGACGAGAUGAGAAAUCACAGGCGAGCGAGAGAAACCUCGUUAAGGAACUCGGCAAAAAGGUCCCGUACCUUCGGAAGAAGGGACGCUGGGUAAAACCAGCCGCAGAGAAGUGGCUCUACCGACUGUUUACCAAAAACACAGGUCUGUGCAAACGCGAAAGCGGACGUAUACGGGCUGACGCCUGCCCAGUGCCGGAAGGUUAAGAGGAGAGGUGCAAGCCUUGAAUUGAAGCCCCGGUGAACGGCGGCCGUAACUAUAACGGUCCUAAGGUAGCGAAAUUCCUUGUCGGGUAAGUUCCGACCCGCACGAAAGGCGUAACGAGUGGAGCACUGUCUCAACGAGGUACUCGGCGAAAUUGAAGUACGUGUGAAGAUGCGCGUUACCCGCAGUUGGACAAAAAGACCCCGUGGAGCUUUACUGUAGCCUGUCAUUGCGUUAGGGCGAUGUUUGUGUAGGAUAGCUGGGAGGCGGAGAAGCGGGGACGUCAGUUUCCGUGGAGCCAACGGUGAAAUACCAGCCUGACAUUGCUUUGACCCUAACUGAAGAAGGACAGUGGCAGGUGGGCAGUUUGACUGGGGCGGUCGCCUCCUAAAAGGUAUCGGAGGCGUUCAAAGGUGGGCUCAGGCUGAAUGGAAACCAGCCGCAGAGUGCAAAGGCAGAAGCCCGCUUGACUGCGAGGGAGACAGCCCGAGCAGAGUGGAAACACGGACUUAGUGAUCCUACGGUUCGGCGUGGAACGACCGUAGCUUACCGGAUAAAAGCUACCCCGGGGAUAACAGGCUGAUCUUGCCCAAGAGUUCACAUCGACGGCAAGGUUUGGCACCUCGAUGUCGGCUCAUCGCAUCCUGGGGCUGGAGUAGGUCCCAAGGGUUGGGCUGUUCGCCCAUUAAAGCGGUACGCGAGCUGGGUUCAGACCGGCGUGAGCCAGGUCGGUCCCUAUCUGCUGUGGGCGUUCCAGAUUUGAGCGGAGUCAACAUUAGUACGAGAGGACUGUGUUGGACCAACCCCUGGUGAUCCAGUUGCACCGCUCGGUGCACCGCUGGGUAGCUACGUUGGGCAGGGAUAAACGCUGAAAGCAUCUAAGCGUGAAGCCCCCCGCAAGAUGAGAUCUGGUUCCGCAAGGGUGAGACCCCUGGUAGACCACCAGGUUGAUAGGCCGUAGAUGCACGGGCUGAAAGGCCCUCAGUCGAACGGUACUAACGGUCGAACGUGAUCGCACC